RNAcentral lists this ribosomal RNA (303 nucleotides) under uncultured bacterium. RNAcentral's name for it is "partial 16S ribosomal RNA". It matches the Rfam family "Bacterial small subunit ribosomal RNA", at positions 507 to 807 of the family's 1533-position model. The record is from RNAcentral.
AGCAGCCGCCGCGGUAAUACGAAGGGGGCUAGCGUUGCUCGGAAUGACUGGGCGUAAAGGGCGCGUAGGCGGCGGCCAAAGUCAGGCGUGAAAUUCCUGGGCUCAACCUGGGGGCUGCGCUUGAUACUUGGUUGCUUGAGUGGGGAAGAGGGUCGUGGAAUUCCCAGUGUAGAGGUGAAAUUCGUAGAUAUUGGGAAGAACACCGGUGGCGAAGGCGGCGACCUGGUCCUUGACUGACGCUGAGGCGCGAAAGCGUGGGGAGCAAACAGGAUUAGAUACCCCUGUAGUCCCUGUCUCUUAUAC